UACGUAGGGGCAAGCGUUGUUCGGAAUUACUGGGCGUAAAGCGCACGUAGGCGGAUUUGUAAGUCAGGGGUGAAAUCCCGGGGCUCAACCUCGGAACUGCCUUUGAUACUGCAAAUCUCGAGUCCGGAAGAGGUGAGUGGAAUUCCUAGUGUAGAGGUGAAAUUCGUAGAUAUUCGGAAGAACACCAGUGGCGAAGGCGGCUCACUGGACCGGUACUGACGCUGAGGCGCGAAAGCGUGGGAGCAAACGGG
RNAcentral lists this ribosomal RNA (251 nucleotides) under uncultured bacterium. RNAcentral describes it as "partial 16S ribosomal RNA". It matches the Rfam family "Bacterial small subunit ribosomal RNA", at positions 524 to 776 of the family's 1533-position model. The record is from RNAcentral.